This 466-nucleotide ribosomal RNA is filed under the name Vreelandella stevensii. RNAcentral describes it as "partial 16S ribosomal RNA". It matches the Rfam family "Bacterial small subunit ribosomal RNA", at positions 338 to 795 of the family's 1533-position model. The record is from RNAcentral. Lineage: Bacteria; Pseudomonadati; Pseudomonadota; Gammaproteobacteria; Oceanospirillales; Halomonadaceae.
CCUACGGGCGGGCAGCAGUGGGGAAUAUUGGACAAUGGGCGAAAGCCUGAUCCAGCCAUGCCGCGUGUGUGAAGAAGGCCUUCGGGUUGUAAAGCACUUUCAGUGGGGAAGAAAGCCUUGGGGCUAAUACCCUCGAGGAAGGACAUCACCCACAGAAGAAGCACCGGCUAACUCCGUGCCAGCAGCCGCGGUAAUACGGAGGGUGCGAGCGUUAAUCGGAAUUACUGGGCGUAAAGCGCGCGUAGGCGGUCUGAUAAGCCGGUUGUGAAAGCCCCGGGCUCAACCUGGGAACGGCAUCCGGAACUGUCAGGCUAGAGUGCAGGAGAGGAAGGUAGAAUUCCCGGUGUAGCGGUGAAAUGCGUAGAGAUCGGGAGGAAUACCAGUGGCGAAGGCGGCCUUCUGGACUGACACUGACGCUGAGGUGCGAAAGCGUGGGUAGCAAACAGGAUUAGAUACCCUUGUAGUC